GUAAACAACAAAAAUGUCAGCGUAUAUUCAGAUAAAGCCAAAAAUACUCUAGAGUAGUCCCAUGAUCCCAGUAAUACAAAAUAGGUCAAGCUCUUUCAAAUACAGUAAGUUAUAUAUUUGACUUAUUUUGUAUUUUGCUCAUCAAAUUGUCUGCAUCAUUUCAUUCUCAAUCUGUGUCUUUAAUGAAGUUUGCGUGGGACAUGUAAGAGUGUAAAAUGACUUUCCAUUCUCAGAGUAACUGUGGGGCUAUAAUAAUGAGAAUGCCUGCACCCCCUAUAUUGUGUUUUUUUUUUUUUAUAGCUUCUGUUUUUAUUAUUUACACAGGCAUUACUCGGUUUUGUAACACUAUUAGUUUAGAU
Pelobates cultripes (western spadefoot toad) is the source of this 359-nucleotide non-coding RNA. The record is from the annotation of a GenBank genome assembly. NCBI's taxonomy places the organism in Eukaryota, Metazoa, Chordata, Amphibia, Anura, Pelobatidae.